ACCAGACAGUGGAACACCAAUCAGCCACUAUGAACAGAGAGAGGUCUGAAGAAGGGAGAGACCAGACAGUGGAACACCAAUCAGCCACUAUGAACAGAGAGAGGUCUGAAGAGGGGAGAGACCAGACAGUGGAACACCAAUCAGCCACUAUGAACAGAGAGAGGUCUGAAGAGGGGAGAGACCAGACAGUGGAACACCAAUCAGCCACUAUGAACAGAGAGAGGUCUGAAGAGGGGAGAGACCAGACAGUGGAACACCAAUCAGCCACUAUGAACAGAGAGAGGUCUGAAGAGGGGAGAGACCAGACAGUGGAACACCAAUCAGCCACUAUGAACAGAGAGAGGUCUGAAGAGGGGAGAGACCAGACAGUGGAACACCAAUCAGCCACUAUGAACAGAGAGAGGUCUGAAGAGGGGAGAGACCAGACAGUGGAACACCAAUCAGCCACUAUGAACAGAGAGAGGUCUGAAGAGGGGAGAGACCAGACAGUGGAACACCAAUCAGCCACUAUGAACAGAGAGAGGUCUGAAGAGGGGAGAGACCAGACAGUGGAACACCAAUCAGCCACUAUGAACAGAGAGAGGUCUGAAGAGGGGAGAGACCAGACAGUGGAACACCAAUCAGCCACUAUGAACAGAGAGAGGUCUGAAGAGGGGAGAGACCAGACAGUGGAACACCAAUCAGCCACUAUGAACAGAGAGAGGUCUGAAGAGGGGAGAGACCAGACAGUGGAACACCAAUCAGCCACUAUGAACAGAGAGAGGUCUGAAGAGGGGAGAGACCAGACAGUGGAACACCAAUCAGCCACUAUGAACAGAGAGAGGUCUGAAGAAGGGAGAGACCAGACAGUGGAACACUUCAAAUGGAGUGGCCCAACUGCCCUUUUACCCACCUCUUUCCCCUGAUCCUCAACCCUUCCCAUACACUAUAACAGCAUUCUGUAACAUGUCAAUACCAGCCUGGUCCCAACACACCUGAUUCAACUAGCCAAGAGCUUCAUAAUUAGUUGCUGAAUCAGGAUCAGUAGCAGGGCGGGUUGUUCCAUGUCCUUUCAGCAAGUCAUGACACUUACCAUCUGACAUUGUUUCUGUAGUUAGAAACAGUUAAGAUUAGCAUUCCUGCAACAUUAUUUGGUUGAUAUAUAAUUUGAUCUGAGAAACUAAGCUAAAUGAUUGCACCCAAAUUGGGCCGUUUAUAUUUAUUAGGAUUCAUCUUAUAUUCAAUAAAUAAACUACCUGACAUCUAGUAGUAUGGAGAUGCCACUUGGGAGUAUUGCUUCUUCAUCCUAUGUAAUGUAUUCUCAGUGAAUUGUGUGAUGUUUUUGUUGAGAGAAAUUCAAGUUAUAAAGGUUUGUGUCUCAUCUUCAAAUCCCCGAGCUGACAAGGUACACAUCUGUCGUUCUGCCUUACUACCUUACCUUUGUCUGUACAUUAUGCCUUGAAUCUAUGCUAUUGUGCCCAGAAACCUGCUCCUUUUACUCUCUGUUCUGAACGUGCUAGACGGCCAGUUCGUAUUGUCUUUAGCCGGACCCUUAUCCUACUUCUCCUCUGUUCCUCUGGUGAUGUAGAGGUUAAUCCAGGUCCUGCAGUGCCUAGCUCCACUCCCACCACCCCAGGUGCUCUCAUUUGUUGACUUCUGUAAACGUAAAAGCCUUGGUUUCAUGCAUGUUAACAUUAGAAGCCUCCUCCCUAAGUUUGUUUUAUUCACUGCCCUAGCACACUCCACCAAUCAGGAUGUCCUAGCCGUGUCUGAAUCCUGGCUUCGGAAAACCACCAGAAACCCUGAAAUCUCCAUUGCUAACUGUAAUGUUCUCCACCAAGAUAGAACUGCCAAAGGGGGCGGUGUUGAAAUCUACUGCAAAGAUAGAAAGUAAUACAGAACUCUGCAGGCUAAGUCUGUACCAAAACAAUUUGAGCUUCUACUUCUAAAAAUGCACCUUUCCAGAAACAAGUCUCUCACUGUUGCUGCUUGCUAUAGACCUCCCUCUGCCCUCGAUACUAUAUGUGAACUGAUUGCCCCCCAUCUAUCUUCUGAGCUCAUGCUACUAGGUGACCUAAACCGGGACAUGCUUAACACCCCGGCCAUCCUACAAACUAAGCUUGAUGCCCUCAAUCUCACACAAAUUAUCAAUGAACCUACCAGGUACAACCCCAAAUCAGUAAACACGGGCACCCUCAUAGAUGUCAUCCUAACUAAUUCACCCUCAAAAUAA
Molecule: long non-coding RNA, 2212 nt
Organism: Oncorhynchus keta (chum salmon)
Lineage: Eukaryota; Metazoa; Chordata; Actinopteri; Salmoniformes; Salmonidae
Exons: 3
Source: RefSeq, a predicted model, not a curated record